AUUGAACGCUGGCGGCAGGCCUUACACAUGCAAGUCGAGCGAGCGGCGGACGGGGGUGUAAUGUAUGGGGACUGCCCGAUAGAGGGGGAUAACUCCUGGAAACGGUAGCUAAUACCGCAUACGAUCGGAUACGCCAGAUUGGAUUAGCUAGUGGGUGAGGUAAUGGCUCACCAAGGCGACGAUCCCUAGCUGGUCUGAGAGGAUGAUCAGCCACACUGGGACUGAGACACGGCCCAGACUCCUACGGAGGCAGCAGUGGGGAAUAUUGCACAAUGGGCGCAAGCCUGAUGCAGCCAUGCCGCGUGUAUGAAGAAGGCCUUAGGGUUGUAAAGUACUUUCAGUAGGGAGGCGUUACCUGCAGAAGAAGCACCGGCUAACUCCGUGCCAGCAGCCGCGGUAAUAC
Molecule: ribosomal RNA, 403 nt
Filed under: uncultured bacterium
Lineage: Bacteria
Description: partial 16S ribosomal RNA
Rfam family: Bacterial small subunit ribosomal RNA
Source: RNAcentral